RNAcentral lists this non-coding RNA (1002 nucleotides) under Trichomonas vaginalis G3. Its description in RNAcentral is "Eukaryotic large subunit ribosomal RNA". It matches the Rfam family "Eukaryotic large subunit ribosomal RNA", at positions 1107 to 2307 of the family's 3401-position model. The record is from Rfam by way of RNAcentral. Lineage: Eukaryota; Parabasalia; Trichomonadida; Trichomonadidae.
AAAUGAAUUAGCGUUACAAGUGGGCUCUGACCCGUAAGCGGUCAUGGCGAAAUGGGAUGAACCAUACGUCUGAAUAAGGUGCCGAAAUGUACUAUCACUGAUACCAUAAAGGGAGUCCAUGUAUUUAGACAGCAGGUCGGUGCCCCUAAAAGCAGGUAUCCGCUAAAGAGUGUGUUAAAACUCACCUGCCGAAUACUAGGGCCCCGAAAAUGAAUGGCGCAUAUAGUACUACCGAUCUCAGACAUCAGUUCUAUUGAACUGAGAGUAGGGGGAUGUGGACAUUUUUGUGAAGGUGCAAUGUGAGUUGGACUGGAAGAAUGUCUAUUACAGAUCCUAAUUGAAGUAGCGAUUAUCCAGGCUUGUAUCCUGGGGGCUGAUGAGGAGUAGGGUUUCUGGACAACUUAAACAGAUCCAGAGUUAGUCGAUCCUAAUCUCAAUAAUGGGAGAAAGGGAGUACAGUUGAUAUUCUGUAACUGACAACAGUUCGCGGCAACGCAUACUAUUUUUCUCCGCCAAUCUUAUACCGUUGGUAGGGAUCUCUUUCCUACAUGACAGUACUAAUACCCAGGGAAACUGGUCAUCAGGCGAACUGCGGCGUUCUGCUGGCAAAACAUAGCUUCGGUUAUGUCAAUGGCUAUUGGAUUGGUCCAUGAAGCGAAAAAUAGUUUACUGUGUCACUCGUACCGAUAACCGCAUCAGGUCUUCUAGGUAAGUAGCCUAUGGCCAUUGAGGCAUGAUAGUUCAGGGAAUUCGGCCAAUUAGAGCUGUAACUUCGGGAUAAAGCUUGGCUCUGAUGAAAAUCAGAACCGAUUGUUACGCGGAGAGCCCAACUGUUUAAUAAAAACGUAGUGUCGCGCUGUGGUAGUAUAGCCAGUGAACGCGACAUGAAUCCUGCUCAGUGCUGUGUCUGUUAAUAUGGUUCAAGCCAACGAAGCACCGGUAAAUAGCUGGGGUAACUAUGAGUCUUAUCAAAGUAGCGAAAUACCUCGUCACUUAAUUAGU